Molecule: ribosomal RNA, 328 nt
Filed under: uncultured eukaryote
Lineage: Eukaryota
Description: SSU rRNA
Rfam family: Eukaryotic small subunit ribosomal RNA
Source: RNAcentral
AGCUCCAACAGCGUAUAUUAAAGUUGCUGCAGUUAAAACGCUCGUAGUUGUUGUCCAACUGUUCUCCGGACGUCUCUUGAGAUGUUUCGGAUUAAUAGUUUAGCGGAAGGUAACUUCUGCCAAAACCUUGAGGAAAGAUUAGUGUUCCAAGCAAUUCCAAUUUGACCUCCCCAGCAUGGUAUUUAACCAAAUCGAAGAAGGUGCUUGCCACAUCUUCAUCAUACUAAAUAGAAAUUCAAGGGGGUAUACGUAUUCUAGUGUCAGAGGUGAAAUUCCUGGAUUAUUAGAGGACGAUCAAAUGCGAAAGCAUUCACCAAACGACUUUUCU